CAGCUCAAAUUUGAAAUCUGGCUCUCGGGCCCGAGUUGUAAUUUGUAGAGGAUACUUUUGAUGCGGUGCCUUCCGAGUUCCCUGGAACGGGACGCCAUAGAGGGUGAGAGCCCCGUCUGGUUGGAUGCCAAAUCUCUGUAAAGUUCCUUCAACGAGUCGAGUAGUUUGGGAAUGCUGCUCUAAAUGGGAGGUAUAUGUCUUCUAAAGCUAAAUACCGGCCAGAGACCGAUAGCGCACAAGUAGAGUGAUCGAAAGAUGAAAAGCACUUUGAAAAGAGAGUUAAAAAGUACGUGAAAUUGUUGAAAGGGAAGCGUUUAUGACCAGACUUGGGCUUGGUUAAUCAUCUGGGGUUCUCCCCAGUGCACUUUUCCAGUCCAGGCCAGCAUCAGUUUUCCCCGGGGGAUAAAGGCGGCGGGAAUGUGGCUCUCUUCGGGGAGUGUUAUAGCCCACCGUGUAAUACCCUGGGGGGGACUGAGGUUCGCGCAUCUGCAAGGAUGCUGGCGUAAUGGUCAUCAACGACCCGUCUUGAAACACGGACCAAGGAGUCGUCUUCGUAUGCGAGUGUUUGGGUGGAA
This 575-nucleotide ribosomal RNA is filed under the name Diplodia corticola. RNAcentral describes it as "partial large subunit ribosomal RNA". It matches the Rfam family "Eukaryotic large subunit ribosomal RNA", at positions 104 to 704 of the family's 3401-position model. Lineage: Eukaryota; Fungi; Ascomycota; Dothideomycetes; Botryosphaeriales; Botryosphaeriaceae. The record is from RNAcentral.